AUUGAACGCUGGCGGCAGGCUUAACACAUGCAAGUCGAGCGAGCGGCGGACGGGUGAGUAAUGUCUGGGAAACUGCCUGAUGGAGGGGGAUAACUACUGGAAACGGUAGCUAAUACCGCAUACCAUCAGAUGUGCCCAGAUGGGAUUAGCUAGUAGGUGGGGUAAUGGCUCACCUAGGCGACGAUCCCUAGCUGGUCUGAGAGGAUGACGGGCAACCCUGGAAGUGAGAAAGGGUCCGAACUCCUACGGGAGGCAGCAGUGGGAAAUAUUGCACAAUGGGCGCAAGCCUGAUGCAGACAUGCCGCGUGUGUGAAGAAGGCCUUCGGGUUGUAAAGCACUUUCAGCGAGGAGGCGUUACUCACAGAGGAAGCACCGGCUAACUCCGUGCCAGCAGCCGCGGUAAUAC
This 406-nucleotide ribosomal RNA is filed under the name uncultured bacterium. Its description in RNAcentral is "partial 16S ribosomal RNA". It matches the Rfam family "Bacterial small subunit ribosomal RNA", at positions 30 to 526 of the family's 1533-position model. The record is from RNAcentral.